UACGAAGGGGGCUAGCGUUGCUCGGAAUCACUGGGCGUAAAGGGUGCGUAGGCGGGUCUUUAAGUCAGGGGUGAAAUCCUGGAGCUCAACUCCAGAACUGCCUUUGAUACUGAGGAUCUUGAGUCCGGGAGAGGUGAGUGGAACUGCGAGUGUAGAGGUGAAAUUCGUAGAUAUUCGCAAGAACACCCGUGGCGAAGGCGGCUCUCUGGGACGGUACUGACGCUGAGACGCGAAAGCGUGGGGAGCGAACAGG
Molecule: ribosomal RNA, 253 nt
Filed under: uncultured bacterium
Lineage: Bacteria
Description: partial 16S ribosomal RNA
Rfam family: Bacterial small subunit ribosomal RNA
Source: RNAcentral